This 329-nucleotide ribosomal RNA is filed under the name uncultured eukaryote. Its description in RNAcentral is "partial 18S ribosomal RNA". It matches the Rfam family "Eukaryotic small subunit ribosomal RNA", at positions 1470 to 1796 of the family's 1831-position model. The record is from RNAcentral.
CCCUUAGAUGUUCUGGGCCGCACGCGCGCUACACUGAUGCAUUCAACGAGUCUAAAACCUGCUCUGAUAGGGGUGGGUAAUCUUUUGAAUGUGCAUCGUGAUUGGGAUAGAUGAUUGCAAUUUUUCAUCUUCAACGAGGAAUGCCUAGUAAACGCAAGUCAUCAGCUUGCAUUGAUUACGUCCCUGCCCUUUGUACGCACCGCCCGUCGCUCCUACCGAUUGAAUGAUCCGAUGAAUAUCAUGGAUUGAGGAUGCAAGUAGGUUCGCCUAUCUUUAUCUUCGAGAAGUGAAGUAAAUCUUAUCAUUUAGAGGAAGGAGAAGUCGUAACA